AAUAAGUGUAGUUUUGCAAUAUUCAUGGCCAACAUUUGAUCGUUCGUCUUAUUUGAUUUUUUUAAAGAUUGGUAUUUUUAUUGUUAUUAGAUGAUAAAACAUGAAUAGUACGUUAUGUGUGACUAUUUUUUUAUUUUUUUCAUAAAUUUUUGAAAUAAGACGAAUGGUCAAAUGUUGGACACGGAUACCCACGGCUGCACUUAUU
This is a non-coding RNA of Oryza nivara, 205 nucleotides long. Lineage: Eukaryota; Viridiplantae; Streptophyta; Magnoliopsida; Poales; Poaceae. The record is from Rfam.